Molecule: ribosomal RNA, 253 nt
Filed under: uncultured bacterium
Lineage: Bacteria
Description: partial 16S ribosomal RNA
Rfam family: Bacterial small subunit ribosomal RNA
Source: RNAcentral
UACGGAGGGUGCGAGCGUUGUCCGGAUUCACUGGGUUUAAAGGGUGUGUAGGCGGAUUUUUAAGUCAGUGGUGAAAUCUCCGGGCUCAACCCGGAAACUGCCAUUGAUACUAUUAGUCUUGAAUUCUGUUGAGGUGGGCGGAAUACAUCAUGUAGCGGUGAAAUGCUUAGAUAUGAUGUAGAACACCGAUUGCGAAGGCAGCUCACUAAGCAGCGAUUGACGCUGAGGCACGAAAGCGUGGGGAUCAAACAGG